RNAcentral lists this ribosomal RNA (1322 nucleotides) under Staphylococcus aureus. RNAcentral describes it as "partial 23S ribosomal RNA". It matches the Rfam family "Bacterial large subunit ribosomal RNA", at positions 513 to 1839 of the family's 2925-position model. The record is from RNAcentral. Lineage: Bacteria; Bacillati; Bacillota; Bacilli; Caryophanales; Staphylococcaceae.
GGUGAAAAGCACCCCGGAAGGGGAGUGAAAUAGAACCUGAAACCGUGUGCUUACAAGUAGUCAGAGCCCGUUAAUGGGUGAUGGCGUGCCUUUUGUAGAAUGAACCGGCGAGUUACGAUUUGAUGCAAGGUUAAGCAGUAAAUGUGGAGCCGUAGCGAAAGCGAGUCUGAAUAGGGCGUUUAGUAUUUGGUCGUAGACCCGAAACCAGGUGAUCUACCCUUGGUCAGGUUGAAGUUCAGGUAACACUGAAUGGAGGACCGAACCGACUUACGUUGAAAAGUGAGCGGAUGAACUGAGGGUAGCGGAGAAAUUCCAAUCGAACCUGGAGAUAGCUGGUUCUCUCCGAAAUAGCUUUAGGGCUAGCCUCAAGUGAUGAUUAUUGGAGGUAGAGCACUGUUUGGACGAGGGGCCCCUCUCGGGUUACCGAAUUCAGACAAACUCCGAAUGCCAAUUAAUUUAACUUGGGAGUCAGAACAUGGGUGAUAAGGUCCGUGUUCGAAAGGGAAACAGCCCAGACCACCAGCUAAGGUCCCAAAAUAUAUGUUAAGUGGAAAAGGAUGUGGCGUUGCCCAGACAACUAGGAUGUUGGCUUAGAAGCAGCCAUCAUUUAAAGAGUGCGUAAUAGCUCACUAGUCGAGUGACACUGCGCCGAAAAUGUACCGGGGCUAAACAUAUUACCGAAGCUGUGGAUUGUCCUUUGGACAAUGGUAGGAGAGCGUUCUAAGGGCGUUGAAGCAUGAUCGUAAGGACAUGUGGAGCGCUUAGAAGUGAGAAUGCCGGUGUGAGUAGCGAAAGACGGGUGAGAAUCCCGUCCACCGAUUGACUAAGGUUUCCAGAGGAAGGCUCGUCCGCUCUGGGUUAGUCGGGUCCUAAGCUGAGGCCGACAGGCGUAGGCGAUGGAUAACAGGUUGAUAUUCCUGUACCACCUAUAAUCGUUUUAAUCGAUGGGGGGACGCAGUAGGAUAGGCGAAGCGUGCGAUUGGAUUGCACGUCUAAGCAGUAAGGCUGAGUAUUAGGCAAAUCCGGUACUCAUUAAGGCUGAGCUGUGAUGGGGAGAAGACAUUGUGUCUUCGAGUCGUUGAUUUCACACUGCCGAGAAAAGCCUCUAGAUAGAAAAUAGGUGCCCGUACCGCAAACCGACACAGGUAGUCAAGAUGAGAAUUCUAAGGUGAGCGAGCGAACUCUCGUUAAGGAACUCGGCAAAAUGACCCCGUAACUUCGGGAGAAGGGGUGCUCUUUAGGGUUAACGCCCAGAAGAGCCGCAGUGAAUAGGCCCAAGCGACUGUUUAUCAAAAACACAGGUCUCUGCUAAACCGUAAGGU